This 72-nucleotide transfer RNA is filed under the name Oryzias latipes (Japanese medaka). It matches the Rfam family "tRNA". Rfam says of the family: Transfer RNA (tRNA) molecules are approximately 80 nucleotides in length. The record is from Rfam by way of RNAcentral. Lineage: Eukaryota; Metazoa; Chordata; Actinopteri; Beloniformes; Adrianichthyidae.
GCUGUGAUCUUAUAGUGGUCAGUACUCUGCGUUGUGGCCGCAGCAACCCCGGUUCGAGUCCGGAUCACAGCA